RNAcentral lists this ribosomal RNA (253 nucleotides) under uncultured bacterium. Its description in RNAcentral is "partial 16S ribosomal RNA". It matches the Rfam family "Bacterial small subunit ribosomal RNA", at positions 524 to 776 of the family's 1533-position model. The record is from RNAcentral.
UACGUAGGGUGCGAGCGUUGUCCGGAAUUAUUGGGCGUAAAGAGCUCGUAGGCGGUCUGUCGCGUCGAAUGUGAAAACCAGGGGCUCAACUCCGGGCUUGCAUUCGAUACGGGCAGGCUAGAGUUCGGUAGGGGAGUCUGGAAUUCCUGGUGUAGCGGUGAAAUGCGCAGAUAUCAGGAGGAACACCGGUGGCGAAGGCGGGACUCUGGGCCGAUACUGACGCUGAGGAGCGAAAGCGUGGGGAGCGAACAGG